RNAcentral lists this long non-coding RNA (935 nucleotides) under Danio rerio (zebrafish). RNAcentral's name for it is "lncRNA (ENSDARG00000117581.1)". The record is from RNAcentral. Lineage: Eukaryota; Metazoa; Chordata; Actinopteri; Cypriniformes; Danionidae.
UUGGCUUAGCCAGUAGUCAGAAAGACGAAAGGGUAAAUAUCCUUCCUAGCUGGGAUGUUCAUGAAGUGAUAUGAUUAAAAACUAAAGAAUAGAACUUUUCAGUUAUAUGUAGAUUAUUGUGCAUUUGAAAUUCGAUUAUAUAAAUUAAUAUUUCCACAAUUGUUUGUAUGAUGCUCACUUUGUAAAAGCGUGGACUGUGUGACGAUGCCUUUUACAAUGCUGAUAAAACCAGACAUCAGUUAUAAAAGCUGAACAUCUCUUUAAUGUGUGUGUGUGUGUGUGUGUUUCAGCGUGGUCAGGUGCGGCGGCGGUAUGAGUCUCCAGGUGUGUGUUCAGAUGAUGAUGUGAACAGUGAUGCGUCGAGUGUGUGCUCUGAGCGAUCCUUCAGUUCUCGUAACGGGAGUGCGGCCCCACAUCACCUGCGCCAGACAGAGGACGUGGCGGAAAUCCUGAACCGCUGCGCCAGCGCUAACUGCACUGAGAGGAAAGAGGGACUGAUGAGCCUUCAGAACCUGCUGAAGAACCAGAGAGUGCUCAGUCGUGUGGAGCUGAAGCGCCUGUGUGAAAUCUUCACCAGGAUGUUUGCUGAUCCACACAGCAAGGUGACUUUGAUCUGAACACAUUCAUACAGUCACAUGACUUCUGAUAGAUCUGAUGAUUAAUAAACAUUCAUGCUUUACUGUUCCACGCUCUGCUGAUUGGCCGAUUGAUCAGAGAGUAAGUCUUUACUUUCACUUUGAAUACAAUGAGUGUGUGAGCUUGUGUGCAUGUGUGUUUGUGCACAUAUAUGUCUGUGCAUUUGUUUCUGUAUGUGUAUAUAAAAUGUGUCAGUGUGUGUAUAAACUGUUUUGUGUGUGUGUGUGUGUGUGCAGGUGUUCAGCAUGUUUCUGGAGACUCUGCUGGACUUCAUCUCUCUGCACAGAGAGGAUCUGCAG